RNAcentral lists this ribosomal RNA (512 nucleotides) under uncultured bacterium. Its description in RNAcentral is "bacterial SSU rRNA". It matches the Rfam family "Bacterial small subunit ribosomal RNA", at positions 29 to 518 of the family's 1533-position model. The record is from RNAcentral.
AACGAACGCUGGCGGCGUGCGUUAACACAUGCAAGUCGAACGCGAAAGGGACUUCGGUCCUGAGUAAGUGGCGCACGGGUGAGUAACGCGUAGAUAACCUGUCUUCGAUGUCUGGAAUAAUACGCCGAAAGGGGUACUAAUACCGGAUAUUCUUGCUUUUCAUAAGUUAUGCAAGCAAAGGUGGCCUCUGCAUAUGCUACUGCAUGAAGAGGGGUCUGCGUACCAUUAGCUAGUAGGUGGGGUAAUGGCCUACCUAGGCGACGAUGGUUAGCGGGUCUGAGAGGAUGAUCCGCCACACUGGCACUGGAACACGGGCCAGACUCCUACAGGAGGCAGCAGUGAGGAAUAUUGCGCAAUGGGGGAAACCCUGACGCAGCGACGCCGCGUGAGUGAAGGAAGGCCUUCGGGUCGUAAAGCUCUGUCAAGAGGAAAGAAGUGUACAAUGGCUAAUACCUGUUGUAUUUGACGGUACCUCUAAAGGAAGCACCGGCUAACUCCGUGCCAGCAGCCGC